GAUGAAGAACGUAGCGAAAUGCGAUAAGUAAUGUGAAUUGCAGAAUUCAGUGAAUCAUCGAAUCUUUGAACGCACAUUGCGCCCGCCAGUAUUCUGGCGGGCAUGCCUGUUCGAGCGUCAUUUCAACCCUCAAGCCCAGCUUGGUGUUGGGGAUCGGCACAGGCGCCCUCGGGCGCCCGCCGUCCCCUAAAUCUAGUGGCGGUCCCGCUGCAGCCUCCUCUGCGUAGUAGUUUUCUCCUCGCAAGGGCAGCUCGGUGGCGACCUCGCCGUAAAACCCCCAACUUCUGAAAGGUUGACCUCGAAUCAGGUAGGAAUACCCGCUGAACUUAAGCAUAUCAAUAAGCGGAGGA
Molecule: unclassified non-coding RNA, 350 nt
Filed under: soil metagenome
Description: partial contains 5.8S ribosomal RNA, internal transcribed spacer 2, and large subunit ribosomal RNA
Rfam family: 5.8S ribosomal RNA (bases 1-120)
Source: RNAcentral